ACAUUGUAAUGAAAAUGUUGCUUUGAUGACUGACAAUUAAUAACUGCCUAUCUUAGCUGGAAAGUAAUAAUUAAUUUAUGAAAAUAUUAUUUCAUAAUCCUAACUUUUAAAUGUGUGUGAAGGUGGAGCCUGGUAUUUCUCUAUGCCAAUAAGUUUGUUAUAACUCAAAAAUUAAAUGCAGUGCUGACAGAUUUUCAUAAGAAUUUUCAGUCUGCUUGUAUCAGUGACAUGAGAUGGUAAUCAAUACAUCAUCUAUACAUCAUUAUAAUUGAUUGCAUCAAUUUGAACUGGGUAGUUAGCUUUGUAUAAUUUGUAAAUAUUCCAACAAAUUUAAUUGAUUAUGAUUUUAGUGUAUACCAAAAAACCAUGGUGCUUUGCCUUAAUGAUGAGUGGCAUUUCUAUGUUAAUUGUUUUCUUUGAGCAUUUUUGAAAAUAUAAAAUAUCCCCAAAAAUGUUUACUUUUGUCUGUUUUUUUUUUU
Biomphalaria pfeifferi is the source of this 479-nucleotide non-coding RNA. Lineage: Eukaryota; Metazoa; Mollusca; Gastropoda; Planorbidae. The record is from the annotation of a GenBank genome assembly.